Molecule: long non-coding RNA, 21365 nt
Filed under: Citrus maxima (pomelo)
Lineage: Eukaryota; Viridiplantae; Streptophyta; Magnoliopsida; Sapindales; Rutaceae
Description: long non-coding RNA (CMAX_LNC000105)
Source: RNAcentral
AAAUUCCGGCGGCCGUGUUUCCUCACUUUCAAAGUUUAACACGAUUAGUUGUGUGGUACUGUGACAAACUGAAAUACAUAUUUUCAGCGUCUAUGAUCGGAAACCUCAAGCAGCUCCAACACCUAGAAGUACGCUUCUGUGAGGAUUUCUGAGAACAGAGCAGAUGAAGUGAUCCCUUAUUUUGUCUUUCCACAGCUCACCACUUUGAGACUCCAAGGUCUACCAAAACUUAGAUGUUUGUACCCUGGAAUGCAUACUUCGGAAUGGCCCGCGCUAGAAAUUCUUUCAGUGCAUCGUUGUGACAAAUUAAAGAUAUUCACUGAAGAUUUAUCGCAGAAUAAUGAGAACGAUCAACUUGGCAUUCCUGCACAACAGCCCCCAUUGCCGUUGGAAAAGGUAUGAAGCCAUUUUCUAGAUUUUUUGUCUACAGCUUAUUUUUAACUUUGAAAAAUAUGGCAAAGCAUCGAUAAAUUAAUACUCAAUAAAUUGAAAACUUUUAUUAUACAAUAAUCUUUGUUAGUCUAGAUUAAGAGAUCAAUGUGGUAGAUUAAUAAUUAUAUGAACUUUUUUUGGUAGAGCAUUUAUAAAAGAAUCCUUAGUCUUUCCAUAUAGAAGAACUUACAAAAUAAAUUAGUAAUUUAUUAUUGUGCAAUAAAAUAAUUUCGAGCCAGUAUAAAUCAACCUUUUUCCCUAAUUUCUUUUUUACCUCUAAAAUUAACAUAUAAAAUAAAUUUUAUCAAUAAUUCAAUUUUUUUAAAAUAUAAUAUAAAACAAAUAUUAUAAAGUCACUGCGUGUGACCGUAGAUCAUCAAUUGACCUCAUUAGUUAUUAUGAUUGAUGAUGAUCAGAUCGUACCCAACUUGAAGGAACUAUCACUAAGUGGAAAAGAUGUGAAGAUGAUUUUGCAGGCCGAUUUCCCACAACACCUUUUUGGCAGUCUUAGAGAACUAGAGAUUGCUGCAGAUGACACAGCUUGUUUUCCAAUCUGGAACGUACUGGAGAGAUUUCACAAUCUCGAAAUACUCACACUGUCUGUUUUUUUCAUUCGACGAAGAGGUAUUUUCGAAGGAAGGAUGCUUGGAGAAACAUUUGGGGAAGUUGGCAAUGAUAAAAGAAUUAAAGCUGUACCGGCCCUAUCAUCUGAAGCAGCUGUGCAAACAAGAUUCCAAACUUGGCCCCAUUUUUCAGUAUCUUGAAAUUCUAGGAGUAUAUCAUAGUCAAAGUCUGUUAAUUCUAUUGCCAUCAUCAUCGGUAUCUUUUCGGAACCUAGCAAAACUUGUAGCUUUCGGUUGCAAGGAAUUGAUACACUUAGUAACAUCCUCCACAGCAAAAACUCUAGUGCGACUGGUCAAAGUGCAAGUAUAUGGAUGCAGAGCAAUGACAGAGGUGGUAAUAAAUGACAAAGAUGGAGUUGAAAAAGAAGAGAUUGUUUUCUGCAAAUUGAAGACGUUGCAACUGUUUGAUUUAGAUAGCCUCACAAGUUUCUGCUCUGCCAAUUACACCUUCAAAUUCCCAUCUUUGCAAGAGUUGUGGGUGAUUGGUUGUCCCAAGAUGAAGACUUUCACUACAGGAGAAUCAAUCACGCCUCUAAGAGUAAACGUCUGCUAUGGAGAGACAUCGAAUCAACGGCGUUGGGCUAAUAAUGAUCUAAACACAACCAUACAACAAUUACAUGCUGAGAAGGUACGUAUAUACAUAUUACUCUCUAUCUCCCAUGAUAAUUUUUUACAAAAUUUGCUUUCUUAAAUACAAUAUAGAUAAGAUAUUUGAUGAAUAAGAAUUUUACUUUCAGCUGUUGGCGGUGUCGUCGUCAUACUCUACGCAGUACGACUAAUUUCAUAGGCUUCUUAUGACUUGGAGUUGCAAAUUUUUAGAAGAAAGUCUCAACUGGUAAUUAAUUUUUAUUUCAUUUAUUUAAUCCCAUGGCUUGUUUCGCAAUUUCAUCUGAAUUAUUUAGAAUGGGUCCCUCGGUUUACUGUUAAAUUUGCAAUGCAAUUUUAAUGAUCCUUUCAGACUUUUAUGGACAGAUUUUGCAUAGUUGAAUGUCUUUUUAGUCUACUUUAAUUUGAGUUUUUCAUUUUUUUUUUAGAGCUCCCCUUGUUUUCUAAAAUUUUAUAAUUCCUUGCAUACUUUUUAUGAUAAAAUUUCAUUAAAAGCCUUCAUAUUUUAUAAUUCAUUGAAAACGUGCAUACUUUUUCCUUUUUUUUCUUUGCCAAUUAUUUAUUGUCAUCAUUGCUGUUCUUUUAUUUUAGUUUGUGCUCUGUUUGUUCAUUGGGUUUGCUUUUCGGAAAGUUAGAAGGCAAGGAAAGUACUUAGAAAAUGUUCUUCCCUAUGAACACAUAAUUCACAGCUGAAUAUCAUUCAUUGGAUUCAAAAAAAUUAAAAUAAAAAAAAAAAGUAAUCAGCCCAUUAUUCCCAGAACAAAUCCUUAAACCAUCAAACGUUAGCUAUGAACAAGUAUAUUGGUCUAUAGCAUAUUCAUAAUAUUUUUUCUGCUGUUCUGGUUAAAAUUUCUCUACUCUGUGAUUGCAGAAUGUCUGGAUACUGAUGAAGAUUUAAGUCACUCUUCUUCUGUGAAUAAGGUCGUUUUUCUUUUUUCCUCUAUUCAAAAUUUCCAUUCUGAGGGGUUCCCAUUUCCAUCUUCGUGAUCUUCUUGUGAUAGUAUGAGUUACAACCUGUCUGUUUCCUUUAUUUGAUCAUCGCAAGUUCAAAGACAUUUUAUUCUAGCUAAGCUCUUUGUAUGUAUUAUAACAUUUUUAUUCUCAAUAUAUAGAACUCAAUGAGAGGUCUUUUAUUAUACAUGUGUCAUGAAUUUCUAUUGUAUUUUGAGAUUUGAUGGUGUGUUAUCGUCCCAUUGCAAGGUCUUGUAAUCACUCUGAUUCUCAUUUGAGGAGGUUGGUCUCGUCUAUGUGUAUGUAUUUAUAUCCACAAGAAAUUUGAUAAAUGGUCUGGUCAUUUUCUCAUUAAAACAUCUAGUGCUUCAUAUGUUGGAGGGCUACCAGGCAUCAGGGCCAGAUUUUUAAACUCUUCUUCGUGUCAUUUUUUAACAAUAAUAAGGAAGCCCAAGAGAAAAUCUAGAAGUCCUAAUAAGGACCGCUUCUGUAUUGUUCAUUUUCUUAAUUACCUUCAUUAUUAUUUUCGUUUUCAGUUGAUCAAACUUCAGUUCCUUAGCAUUAAUCUAAUUAUGUACUUCAUCUAGAAAUCCUUAAUUUACUCAUCAAAAUGUGAACGCUUAGAAAACUAAGGCAAUAAAUAUAAAGGUACUACCUAAGUUUAUCAUCACAUAUGAUCACCACUUGAUAAUCAAAUAAUCAUAAAAGCAUAUAAAUUCAAAUUAGUGUAUCAUUUACACUAUAAGAAAUAGUUGUAUUACCGACCAGACAUUUCCACAAUAUACUUUUUACACUAUAAAUGCUUUUGAUGGGCUUCAUCUUUGGUUUCGGCUUCGCCGACAAAUAUCUCACAAACAUUCUGCCUUCAAGCAACAACACAACUCCCACUCUAAAUGUAUUUUAUACACUCUCAAACGCACCGUUUUGAUUUGUGUUAUAAAUUUGACGCUGCCAUUGUUUUUUUGUUUUUGACAGGCAUGGCUUUUCUUUUUAAGCCUUUCCUUUUAUCUUUUAUAGCCAUCUUCCACAUCAUUUCUCUUCCAAGUAAUCUUAAGAAAUAUUUCUGUUCUUCUUCCAAGUAAUCUUAUCAUUUCUCUCAUUUUAUUCGUUCUUCUCUUUUCAAGUCUUCAAUCUUAUACUCAGUAAAUAUAUUAAACUGCUUUUUCACUUCAGUUCCAGACAACUGAGAAGGUGUUUGUCCCUACUCUCUAGUUUUAUUCAAAGACACUAUAUUUUCGAAACCUAUGAUUUGUUGGGAAAAAUCGACGGUGACCCACGUGACAAAAUUUUCUACUAUGUAUCAACCAAUUAGAUCCAGUGCUUUGUUGGCAAACAAGACAUGCUUAUUUACCUUUAAUACUCCACCCAGACAAGUUGCCACUGAUAGUUCAUAACAAUGCUACGUGUAACUUGAACAUUUGAUUACGUGAUGUACUGUAUCAUUCCAACCAUAUCAUCAUCAGCCACUUCCCUUAUAACGAAAUAUAGAUUACAACACUUAUCAAGAAGGACAAUAAAUUCUUGUACCACCAACAACAUUCUCAAAUACAAAAUCUAUAAAUUUUUCAACGCCAUCAGUAUAUGACUUGGAUAUCUAUUUGGCAAACCAACCCAACACUUGUCCAUGACUAUCUCCUUUUAAUGCGCUAAAAAAAUUAGUUCUUCAUUUCUACUACUAAACAAGAUAUUUUCGUGUGUGCACAGUUUUGCAAUAUAAUAAAAAGAUCAUUUUACAAUUUUAUGGUUAAUUUCAUUAGAAUUUACAUAUAUGAAAGCAAACAAAGCCACAAGAAUCAGAGAAAAAGAUGUGACAAUCAAAGUAUAUAAUCAACGAUAAUUAAUGUAAAAAACAGUUUCCAAUACCUUCUGUAAAGAAAUAUCCUUGCCAAGUGCUGAGAACUUCACUUGGCUAUCAAUUACAGAUAUAUAAAGCCUGUAACCUAGAAACAAAAAAUUAGGUCAGCAAGUCCUGAAACAUUUUUAUAAACCAACAUUGGAGAUAGCACUCCAUUUACAAACAAAAUUACAAGCUCAAAACCAAGGUCAACUCAGCAAAAUCAUCACCAAUUACAUUCAUCCAACUCAGCUCCUACACUACCCUCAAUAUAUCCAACAUUCCCUUCAUAUUUACCAACCGUAAGUAAUCCUACAUAUCCCACUCAAGAAUGCGUAAGUAUUUUCAAUCUCAAGUACCUAAAGUUUUAUUCUACAUUUAUAAAAAUUUCAGCACCAUCUCCCUAUAAUUCUCCAAGCACGCGACAUAGCUAUAUAAGUGUUUAUGCGUUAUGCCAAAACAACACAACACCCAUUCACCUAGUACGUUCCCAGAGAACACGAGGAGCAGCUACUGAAAAACCCAUUUUUACGUGGGAAGAAACUUCAGCUACUAGCUACCAGAGAGAAGUAUGCAUUCCCAAACUGUCCAAGCCCGGACAAUUCAAGAAUUAUUAAUAGACAUAUGAUCCUCACUAUCAUCCAAAUAUGACACUAAUAAAACAUGUGUCUAUUAAUAAUUUCUUAAACAAGUCUAAGCUUUUAAUGCACGUAUCAAAAGUUUAAAAUUGAAUCUGAAAUUUGAAUAACACAUAAAUAUCAUAAAUCUUUUCAAGUUAUUCCUGAUACAAUGUAGGCAUGUAGCAUUAUUUCACAUAUCAUUUCUUAAGCAAAACCAUAAAAAAAUACAAAUGAUAAAUACAUUUUCGUACUGAUGCAGAUUAUGUUUACUGAGCAAUAAGUUUUAAGUCAUUCAUGUUGAAAUACUUCUUCCUAUUCUUUCAACAUAUAACUAGUACGUACACACAAUUAAUAAAUAAAUAAAUAACCUGGUGGUGAAUCUUGCAAAAUCUUCCUUUUUUUUGUGGGGGGGGGGGGGGGGGGGGGGGGGGGGGGGGGGGGGGGGGGGGGGGGGGGGGGGUGGGGGCGCUAUGAAUCUUGCAAAUCCUCGGGAAGCCAUGUUAAGACAAGGCCAGCUUACUAUUAGGGUAUGAAAGAUAAAACCUUUUAUUUCCUUUUCAGAAUAAAAAGGACAUUGACAGUGUUAAAAAAAAUCUAGAGGAUUUCAGGCCUCCAGAUCCUUACAAAUCAAGGAUAUUAAAAAAAAUUACUUAGAGGAGAAAGGUUAUGCUCAUUUGUAUCUUGUUAGAAGAAAUUGAUCCAAAGCCUCAGUUUUAAUUUGCUUCAUACAGCCAAUGACUAGGUGUUUAAAAACCAAUGAAUAUUUUUAUAAGAAAUCAACAAUAUUGUUGAAAGAAAAACCAAAUAAAAAUAAUAAAGCCAAUGAAUAGAUCAAGGCUCUUUAUGGUCUAAUAACUAAUCAAACUAAGUUGUGGGCAAAGGCGAAUAUGUUUGUUUGGUCGAAAAUAAGCUCAACAAAUCACUAAUAAUCACCUAAUCACUAUUCUUUAUGCUAUGCAAUAUAAUGGCCUGGGUAAUGGCGCCAAGGCAGAAAAUAACUAGCUAGCCAGUUAUGAUAGUUGAUUAACUUAACCUACUGGAAAUCCGAAGACCAAAACGAAGAAGCUUUGCCUAGAACUAGAAUAGGAACAUUCAUACCCAAAACUAAUAUACACGAUUAAGAAACUUGAUUAUAUGUAUAUUUCUGUUGGCCACACUGAAAGAGAAUUUUCAAAAGAUGCUAAGGUACACCAAAUCCCACUAUUUCAUACUCAUAAACACAAAAAACCAAGGAAAAAAUUAAUGACUAUAUAAAAUAAAAUCGGUCAUAGGACAUUGAGAUUAGGACAACUUGAUUUGUAUACCGUAAAAUAACUAUAUCUGCAUAGUGAACUAUAUUUCUGUUAGAACUCUGAAGUUUUCUAUUAAAUUUUUUUCUCUGUUAGGUAAACCACUUAACUGAAAUGCUUAAGCCAAUAUUGACAAUCAUAGACAUAAAAGUAUUAAUAGGCUCAUUCAAGUGAAAUGAGCAUUAUUUUACACAUCCUUUAGGAUUUUAAGUCAUUUAGAAGUCAUUCAUGUUAAAAAAAAAAAAAAUUCAUAUACUUUCAAUAUAAUUAGUACAUACACAAUUAAUUAAUUAAAUAAAUCUGUUUCAGCUAGUAUAGGAACUUAAUUAAUCAAAGCUAGUAGUUAUAGCUAGGACUUGAACGAGGCACCUUUCAAAGUUCAAGAAGAGCAUCUGAACAGAAUGAAAGCACUUUGUAGAAAUGAUAAUGAUGCUUUACACAAUAUGAACUUUCAUUUAUUCAAGAACAUAACACUACUCCAAGCUCUUAUUCUACGAGUCAAUCCAGUUUGUAGAUGCACGCCAUUGUAAAAGCUUUUGUAUUAUAAUUUCUGAAAAUAGAACAUAACAUUAUUAAUAUAGAAUCAGCAAUGUAUAUAACUUAUCAGACAAUAUAACAAGCACUUGGUGAGCAUACAAGAUAAACCAAAACAAGUUAUCUAGAAAAUGAAACUAAAACCCAAGCUCCGCUAUUCAUUGUAGAUGCUUUAAACAUAAAAUUAAACUAAAUCUAAUAGCAAAACAUUAGAAUGGAUGUUGGAAUUAAAGCUAAAUUCAAUAGUAAUUCAAAUGAAUCCAUUUGAACUUUGUAAAUUCCGCAGAACAAAAUUAAUUUGAGUGAGCAAACUCACCAAUGGAACAAGAACGCAGGGGCUUCAACUUGUACGAAUAAAAAAAUAUUGCUGGCGGGACAAAAAUUGACAAUAACGGCUACAAUACGAAUUAAAAAAAAUCAAAGUCUAUAAUUACAAGUUAAGUAAGAGAAGAAACUCAUAAUCACAAGCUUACCUCAAAAGAUGAAGGGAGAAUACGAUGAAGAAGAAGAUGCCCGGCGUUUUACGCCGUUCGCUGGCAACCAGUUAUGUUUACGAUGGUGGCCAGUAACACGGACUCCAGCGAAUACUUUUCUAACUGGAAAUAAAUUUAAAAUUCUAAAAUAUUAGUAUACCGAACGGCUCUUCACCGUCACGCAGUUCGUAACAUAUGUGACAGCAGUGUGGCCGUCACAUAAAGGGUAACAAAAGCAACUCGGGGUUACAGAGUUAGAAGUUAGUGAUAUGCGUAAUGGCUGCUUUUGCAUUCACAUUAGGGGUCACAUAUACCCUAUUUUCUUGUAGUACAUGGUAAAUUCUAUUUGAAAAUUGCUCAGUAUUUUAGAUUUGUACGAAAUCAUUUUUGUGUGCUCGUUGGAUAAUAAUAUAUAAUAAAUUAAAAUUUUAGUGUAAUUUUCACAAUAUUGUAUUAGAAAUAUGUCUCGUUGAAAGGUUUUGAAAUCGUUUGAUUGAUCAUAAUUGUUAUUUCGACAGUUGCAAAAGAUGCCAGAGAAAAUUUGAUUAUCUUAAGAAAUGAGUGCAUGAGAUAUGAAAUCAACCAUACCAUAAAAUCAAAUUUUAUCGUUUCAUUCUUCCUGGUUCAAAUUUAUGGAAACAAUAAUCAAAUGCACCCAUGAACUAGUAUAUUCCGACAUAUGUACCAUCAAAUUUUUGCUAUAUCAUACUUAUAUAUGUAUAUUGAAAUUUUAAUAACAACAAUUGGGCCAAGCGUAUGUUGGUACUUGAAGAUUUAUAAGCUCCAUCCUUGAAAAAAUAAGGCUUGAUUGUUCUCAAUCUAAUUCUUUUUGUUUUAAGUUCUUAAUUAAGCUUUCUUGCUUGUUUUCAAGAGCCAGUUUUGUAGUGAUCGAAAAACAUGAUUUGCAUGUAAUGCACUUGGCAUUUAUGCGUCACUUAUUAAUUAGAUUUAAAUUUUAUAAAUUAGUUAAGCUGAUUAAUACUGUGCAUGUGCACUAAAUGAUAAAUACUACAUAAAUUGGUAGGAGUGGGCAAAACCGGGUUCGGGUCGGGUCGGGUUCGGAUCAACCCGAUCGGAUUUCGGGUUGUUCGGGUUUAACAAAAAUUAAUCCGAAUACAACCCGAACUUCCCACCCGACCCGAUCCGAUCCGAUUUAUAUUCGGAUUGGGUCAGGUCGGGUUGUGAAUUCAGGUUGAAAUCGGGUAGGAUCGGGUUGACCAAUUUCCUUGAUUUUGUUACUACCAUUUAAAAACACAUAAUUACAACAAUUAAAUACUAAAUAUUAAUUGUUUAAUUUAACCAUAUGCACCAUCAAUUCAAAUCUUUAAAAAAAAAAGCUUAAAAAAAGCGUGAAAACUCAAGAUUCAAAGUCAAAGGUGAGAAGCUCGGGUUGAAGGAUUGGAGCAGCAGAAGCACCUUGCAGCAGAUUCGCGGCACUUGCAGUAGAUCGGUGGCCGCGGCACUUGUAGCAGCAGACCGACGGACGCGUAGUAGCAUAUUGGCGGCACUUGCAGCAAAUCGGGCAUGGAGACGCGCGGCAAAUCGGCCAUGGAGAUGCGGGUGAGGCUGUGACUUGUGCAACGACCUCCGUUGGCAGCUUGGCGUUGGCCCAACGCCGUUGGGGGUGACUGUGUAUGUGUUUUGUGUAUUGAGAUUGGGGAUUGUGUAAUGAGAUUGGGGAUUGAGGAGAGUUGUGAGUGUUUGUGUAAGUAACCGUGUGUUGUGAAAAUGGGAAUUGUGAUUUGUGUGUGCUGCGUGUGUGUGGCUGUUUGCUUUAGGUUUAGUUUUUUUUUUUUAUAGCAACCCGAUCGGGUUUCGGAUCGGAUCGAACCCAAUCCGAUCAUAACCCGAUCGGGUUUCAUUGUUUUGAUCCGAUCGGGUUUUCUGCACAACCCCAUCCGAUCCGAACCUGAAAUUUUUCGGGUCGGGUCGGGUCGGAUCGGGUAAUUUGCCCACCCCUAUAAAUUGGGACACUAGUAACUAUGCAUCCCAACCAUGUAAUAUUUAUUUGUCACGAAACCAACCACGACAUGAUAUUCUUAAUAUUAUUUAGGAUACCAUUUCAAGCCCCAUGAGGGCUCCUUCCGUUAAAUAAAAAAAAAAGGUAUGAAAUAGGUGUAGAUUUUACUUUAGAUAUUAUUAGUGAGAGUACCUUUGGUGGCAAUGGUCCGAGAUGAUUUGGGAUUUGACCAUUCUACUCUCAUCUUAAUUAUCAAAUGGAAUGUAAGUAUGGAUAAACUCGUCCUGUUUAUAUAUUUGUGAUCAAAAUUAGGACCAAUCUCAAACCCCUCACAAUCAUUUAUAUUAUUGCACCAGUUUAACAAUAAGAUUUACGAAACACAUACGACUGUUUUUAUAACUAAAAGUAUUUUUAAGCUACAAGAUUACCAAAAUGACCCUAAAUCAAACCAAUAAAAAUGUUUUAAAGUAAUAAUAAUAAACCAGAGUAAACGUACAAAAAUUCAUGCAUAAAUUGAUAAUCAACAAAAACAUCCAAAAGUUUAACUCCAAGUUUUCUAUUCAAUUGACAUAACCCUUAAAUUUCAAAAGGUAUAAUCAAUUUUGUGUCUAAUCCUAUAAAAUUAGAAAAUUAAAGAAUAUUAUAUAUUGAUAAUUAAAUAAUAUGCAAUUAAUAAUGUUUAAAAAAAUAAUGUUAAACAUAUUGUCAACUAAAAUAAUUGGGAGAAUUGGAGUUCCAAGAUAAAUUCUUAUCUAGUCCCAAAUCAACAAUUGUGAUUAAUUUCAAUCUUAAACUUUGAAACUCGGACUGCUUUUAAAAUUGGUCCUAAUAAUAUGGACAAAUCCCAUUCUGAUCAAUAUGGAAUCCCAAUCCAUACCUUUGGAUUUCGAUGGUGUUUAGUUGGAGGGAGGAGAGGAAGGAAAUGAAUUCAAAUUCCUUUCACUUUCCUGUUGUUUGGUUUUCACUAAUAAAUGGGAAUUCAAUUUCUAUUGAAAUUUAAUUUUCAUCAAAUUGUGCAUUUUGGAUUCCUCACCGAAGGCUGUAAAAUUCAAAUUCCCUUUCUAUUAGAAAUCGAAUCUUCCAAAAUUGCUCCAAUCAAAUUUUUAUCAAUUAUUUUAAUUAUUAUCAAAUAAUUCUUAUUUAUGAUUUUAUUUUUUCAAUUUAAAUUGUCACUAAGGAGUCGGACUUACUACCACAGAAAAGAAAAAAAAUAAUUUAGUCAGCUGAACUAAUUUUUGUUUUUUUUUUUUUUUAUUAACUUUGAAAUAUUGCAUACAUAACGAGCUGCUAUUGAAAUUAGUGUUAAAAAAAAAAUAGAUGCAAAAGGAGAAACAAGCAUCAUGUGCAGUACCCACUGUGAAAUAUUCACAUUGGAAUAAGUCGUUGGCAGCUGGUCUGUUUGGCCAUUAAUAUUUUGACAUUCAAUGUUCAUUAUGAUCCUAGUAAAUUAAGCCAUAAAAAAUCUAUUGAAAUUACUCACCGUACAAUGAUGGUUGGAGCUGCAUGUAUCAUUUAUUGUUAACAACAAACUUAUGAAAUGCUUUGAAUGUACCUCCGAGGUUGUAUUUACUAUACUAGUUAGGAGAAAUUACGAAGUUAAAUUAUUUGAUAAAUACUUAUUAUAAUUUGAAAAAUAUGUUAAUUUUGUCCUCCACUUUAUGAUAAAAAAUUUAUAAUAUAUAUAAAUCAUUCAUUCUAUAAUCUUGAAUUUUAUUAAAGUUAGAAAAACUAUUACUCUACAUGAUAUAAUAGUGUGAUGUUAUUACACUAUUAUACCAUAUAAAAUAUAUUUACUUUCUUAAAUUUUAAUAAAGUCUAGGUCUUGGAGAGAAGCACUUUAUAUAUAUAUGUAUAUAUGAUUAUUGUCUAGUGACAACAUUCUCAUUUUAACAAAGUGAUGAUAUAUCUAACUAAAAAACGCAUAUUUCAAUACACCAAUAGAUUAAAAAAAAUACAGUUUUUAAUAUGUUAAAAUCUAUAUAUUUUGUAUUAUUAAUAUUUUCACUUUAACAAAGUGGGGUCUCCUCACUAUAGAAGUACUUUAUAAAUAUUCUUUAUAUUUUUGUGAAAAUUAUUAUUUAAAAGUCAUAUUUUCCUAAAAACUAAUAACUUUUAUUUUAUUACUAUGCUGUACUUUUCAAGACAUAACACCUCAAUACCAUGACGUUAAUUAUUGAACUCUGCUGUACAAAGUUGUUGGCUGGUCUAUUUAGCUUAGUCUUUCAAUUAUUUGUCGUUUGAACUGAGAUGAUUCGAAUAAAGCUGUAUAUCAAUAAUUUCCUAGUGAAACUUCGAGAAAAAAUAAAAAUCAUGUCAUACAGUAGCAUUAUUUUUAUUUUCAGCUUGAUUAUGUUUUGAGUUAACUUAUAGAUUAUUUGAAAUAAAAAGAAUAUAAUUUAUUUUUUCUAACUAAAUAUUUUUAAAUAAUUUUGUUAAUUUAAUGAGUAAUUAUACACUUACAAAGUUAUGAUAUAAAAUUAUAUCCCUGAAUCCCAAUCAUAUGACACCAAUUAACUACUGCUAUGUGUUUCUUAGUAUUUAACUUUUUAUACUAUUAUUAAUGAGAUAAUUAUCUUCAACACCAAUAAAUAAAUUUUAUAUUAAUACAUCCUCUGACUUUAUUAUCAAAUGAUUAUAAAUCAUAAUCAAACCAAGCUACCAAAGCCUACUACUAAGAGAUUGAUUAAAGGGUUUUCCAAGAUUUCAAAUUGGAUGAAACUAUGGUGCAACGGUUGCACCGUACUACUCAAUUUUGUCUUUUUCAAUUAAUUACAUCUCAAUACCUAUAUUUUAUAAAAAAGUUGAAUAGACACUAGAAGUUACAAUUUUUUAUAUAUGAGUCCUCUUUUGGGAUAAAAAUGGAUUUUAAAAAAAUUUAACUGUUACUAUUAUUAAUAUUUAUAAAUUUCAUUAUUAUUAUAUUAAUAUUAUUGUUAUUAUUAUUAAAAUUUAUUAUUUUAAUUAUUGUCAUGUAUUAUUAUUACUACCAUAAAUGUCAUCAUUAUUAAUAUUAUUAUUAUCAUUAAAAUUUAUUAUUUUAUUAUUUUAAUUAUUAUGUAUUAUUAUUACUGUCAUUAAUUAUUAUUAUUAUGAAAUUAAUUUAUUUUAUUAUUUUAUUGUUACAAUUACUUUAAUUAAGUCAUUAUUAUUAUUUUAUUAAUUUUAUUACUAUUAUUAAAUAUAUUAACUUUAUUAUUUUAAUCAUGAUUAAUUAUUGUUAUUAUUAUUUUAUUAAUAGUAAUAUUAUUAAAAUUAUUAAUUUUAAUAUUUUAAUUAUUGUCAUGUAUUAUUAUUACUACCAUAAAUGUCAUCAUUAUUAAUAUUAAUAAUAAUAUUAUUAUUAUCAUUAAAAUUUAUUAUUUUAUUAUUUUAAUUAUUAUGUAUUAUUACUAGGGGUGGGCACGGUUCGGUUCGGUUUGGUUCGGUUCGGAUCGAAAUUAAGUAGAACCGAUUUAAAUCGGUUAUUUUAUAAAAAGAACCGAAUAAGAACCGAACUCAAACGGAUCUUUUCGGAUCGGUUCGGUUCGGUUCGGUUUUUUGGUUCUAGGUCUAUUAGGCCUAUUUUAAAAUUUCAAAUUUUUAGCCCAUUGGACCUCAUAAAUGUAAUAAUUGUUUUCAACAAUUAGUUCAUCCUAAUUUCAUUACAAAUAUUAACAAUAAAUACAAAGUAUUCAAAACACAUUUUAUCACUAAUAUCUUAUUAACUACUAAUAAGGUACUCACAAAAUAUGAAAUAUUAAAAUUUCAAAAUACAUAACCAAACUCCAAUACUCCAUCUACAUAAACAUAAUCAUAAUGUUGUAAAGACAAAUAAAAAUAACAACAAUUACAACUUACAACACAAAAUAAAAAGAAAAUUUAGAAACAAACGCCAACAACAUUCUCCCAUCUUCACCCAAAAAAAAAAAUUGCAAACAAAUGCCAACAACAUUCUCCCAUCUUCAUGAAUAUCAACAUCAACUUUAGGCAUUUUCGACUCAAUAUUUGGAUUUAUAAAAAAAAAUUUAACACAUGUCGAUUUGAAUAAAAUAUAAAAUUAAUUCGGUUUUUCGGUUCAGCUAAGUGAACCGAAUACCGAACCGACAUUUCGGUUUUUUUUUACAAAUGAUAUAUUUCGGUUUUUUUUAAAAUAAAAACCGAUCCAAAUUCGAAAAAACCACCGGUUCGGUUCGGUGUUUUUAAGACCACGGUUUUUUUGCCCACCCCUAAUUAUUACUGUCAUUAAUUAUUAUUAUUAUUAUGAAAUUAAUUAAUUUUAUUAUUUUAUUGUUACAAUUACUUUAAUUAAGUCAUUAUUAAUUAUUAAUUUUAUUACUAUUAUUAAAAAUAUAUUGGCUUUAUUAUUUUAAUCAUUAUUAAUUAUUGUUAUUAUUAUUUUAUUAAUAGUAAUAUUAUUAAAAUUAUUUAAUUUUAAUAUUUUAAUUAUUGUCAUGUAUUAUUAUUACUACCAUAAAUGUCAUCAUUAUUAAUAUUAUUAUGAAAUUACUUAUUUUACUCAUUAUUAAUUAUUAUUAUCAUUAAAAUUUAUUAUUUAUUAUUUUAAUUAUUAUGCAUUAUUAUUGCUGUCAUUAAUUAUUAUUAUUAUGAAAUUAAUUAAUUUUAUUAUUUUAAUUGUUACAAUUACUUUAAUUAAGUUAUUAUUAUUUAUUAAUUUUAUUACUAUUAUUAAAAUAUAUUAACUUUAUUAUUAUUAUUAUUAUUAUUAUUAUUAUUAUUAUUAUUAUUAUUAUCAUUAAAAUUUAUUAUUUAUUAUUUUAAUUAUUAUGCAUUAUUAUUGCUGUCAUUAAUUAAUAUUAUUAUUAUUAUAAAAUUAAUUAAUUUUAUUAUUUUAAUUGUUACAAUUAUUUUAAUUAAGUUAUUAUUAUUUAUUAAUUUUAUUACUAUUAUUAAAAUAUAUUAACUUUAUUAUUAUUAUUAUUAUUAUCAUUAAAAUUUAUUAUUUAUUAUUUUAAUUAUUAUGCAUUAUUAUUGCUGUCAUUAAUUAAUAUUAUUAUUAUUAUAAAAUUAAUUAAUUUUAUUAUUUUAAUUGUUACAAUUACUUUAAUUAAGUUAUUUUUAUUUAUUAAUUUUAUUACUAUUAUUAAAAUAUAUUAACUUUAUCAUUUUAAUUAUUAUUAUUAUUUUAUUAAUAGUAAUAUUAUUAAAAUUUAUUAUUCUAAUUAUUAUAUUAUUAUUAAUGUUGUCAACAUCAUCAUCAUCAACAUUAUUAAAGUUUACAUAUUUUUUUGUUUUAAGUAAUAUUAUUGUCAUUAUUAUUAUUUUACCUUAAGUAAAUAUUUAAAAACUUUUAGUUUUUAUGAUUUUGUAACUUACGGUCAGACUGUGAAAUAGUUAGAUAAUCAUUAAUUAUUAUUAUUAUUAACAAUUUAAUAAAAAUAUUAUUAAUUAUUGUUAAUAGAUUAAUUAAUUAUAAUGUUUUUUAUUCUUGUAUUAAUAAUAAAAAUAAUCUAUUUAAAAAAUAUUUAUGAUUAUAAUAAAAUAACAAUUAUAAUUAUAAUUCAUUUAACAAUAAUUAUAUUUUUUAAAUAAUGGAGGUUAUUUGGAAAAUUUAAAAUUAUAGGGGCAAAUUCAUACUCUAGGGUUUUAAUAAAAUAAAAUUGAGUAUAAGGGGUUAAACGAAAUUUUAUAUUUCAAAAAGUUUAUAAUAUUCAUGAAUAAAAUAUAAAUAACAUAGAAUAUGGGGGGUUAUAUAAAAUUUCACAGGCUGACCGUAAGUUACGUUAAAUGUAUAACUUAGGCGGACCUUUAGUGAAAUGCACAAAUGGCACAAGGGACCCCGCCAACCGUUAAGUCACAUCAUUUAUUUAUUUGUGAAUGAAAAAUAAGGUCCUUAUGCUAGUUUGACGAUUAUAAGUUAUCAUCACAAGGUUGUUGGGCGCAUGCAUACUGAGUCACAGCACUGAGAUUCAACUUUUCUGUACAAUAAGAGUUUAUUUGUCUUUUUGUAUUGGGAUAAAAUGGAUCUCCCUCCAACUUUAAGUAAGGCUUAAUAUUCAGGCUGUGCUGUAAUAGAAUUAUUGAGGAGAGUUUCAUUUUUUAUUGUAAAUAUCAGUAGAGCUCUCAUUGUAAUAUAUCAGUCUAUCAAAAAAAAGUUAUCAUCCCAAUAACUUUGGACUUUGAUAUUAAUUUUACUAAUUAUGAAAUUCAUUAUCUAAUAAAAAAAAUAACACAUAACAAUUGGGUCUCAAAUUAGAAUUCUACUAUCGAAAUUCCUAGCAUUAUUCUAAUAUUAAAAAUUCAUCAAAAUAAUAUCUAUUAUCUAAAAAAAUAAAAUAAAAAUCUAAAGCCAUAGAUUUACUUUUCAAUCUUCCUGAUUUGGCUGAUUUCUUUUAAAGCUUUGGUUUCUUUAUAUUUUUAUCGAUCAUUUUAGCGGUGCUGGCAUUUGAUUUUUUUGACUAAGCUACUGUUUAGUUCUAAGUUUUGGCAAUUGCCCGGACUGCUCUGUUUUGUGUAUCUUCGACACAACAAGGCUUAGCAUCUAAAUGUCGGCAGCCACGCAACUUCUUGGAAUCUUCGUGCAAGUGUUGGAUAUCGACUGUUCGAUAAUGAUGGCAGCAUGGGACUGGAGUGUAAUUGACGCAGUGGAAUAAAGAUCACAUGUCUCAAACUUUUGGCGAAGAUAUUGUCAGAUAUUUUAUUGAUUAAGGAUCACAAAUAAUGGAUAUUGGAUGAGAAUCACAUGCUUUACCACAAUCGUAAUGUUACUAAUGUAAGUCAAGCAAUUAUUUUUAAAUAAUGAUAUUAUAAUUAAAAAAUAAAUAAAUAUUUAUAAUAUUUAAAAGAGUAAUUCCGAUUAUUAAUUUUUUUAUAUUACUUAAUUAUUAGCUGACAAAUAAUUAAAAGGUUAUAGAACAGGACUCAGCUACCUUACAACAGUUGCAAGGUACCACCAAAUUUUGACUUUUCUUAAUUUCAGUUUUUUAUCAUUAGAUUUAAUGAAAAGGUGGUUUCAAUGGUAGAGAUUUGUUCAUUUAAAUAUUAACAUUACACUCCUUGAUAUUUAUUAAAGACACAAACAAGUUAAAGAGUUUAAAAUUUUAACACAUAAGUCCGGAUUGUUUACAAUUUAUAUUGUUUAAUUAGUAGUGAGUAUUAAAAAAUAAAUAUUAUUUUUAAUAUUAUAUAUUUUAUUUAAAAGAAUAAAUAAAUAUUAUUUAAUAUUAUUUAUUCCAUUUUAUUUAAUAUUAUUUAGUCAUAUACUUAUUAUUAUAUUUAUUCUUUCAAAAAACUAAAUAACAUUAAAUAAAAUAAAAUAAUCAUUAGGGCGCUUUAAAAAUAAAUAUUAUUUUUAUUUUUGUUUUAUUUAAUCAUUGGCUUAUUAUUAUAUUUAUUAUUUUAAAAAAUAAAUAAUAUUAAGUAAAAUAAAAUAAUCAAUAAUGACUGUUAAAAUUAAUAUUAUUUUUACUUAGUCAUAGGCUUAUAAUUAUAUUUAUUCUUUAAAAACUGAAUAAUAUUAAAAAAUCAAUAGUGUCUUAAAAAUAAUAUCAUUUUAAUAUUAUUUAUUUUAUUUAAGUUAAAUUUUAAUAUUAUUUAUUUUAUUUAAGUUAAAAUUUUAAUAUUAUUUAUUUAAUUUAAAUUUUUUAAUAUUAUUUAUUUUAUUUAAUAUUAUUUAGUCAUAGGCUUAUUAUUAUAUUUAUUCUUUUUUAUAAAGAUAAAUAAUGUUAAAUAAAAUAAAAUUACAUUUUAUAAAAGUUACCAGCGAAAGCAUACAAAAUUAUAAAUAAAUGUAAAAAAAUAAAUAAUAUUAAAUAAAAUAAAAUUACAUUUUAAAAUGUCACUAGCUAAAACAUAUAAACUUAUAAAUAAAAUGUAAAUAAGAAAGAAAGUAAGGUAUUAAAUGAAAUGUAACGUCACAUAAAACAAAAAUAAGUGGCACAUUACAACUGUUGCAAGAUAGCUGGACUCAUAAAACAAUAUUUUUAGGUCAAAUUUUUAUUCUGAUACGACACAACUUGUACUUUCAUUCCUAUGCUAAAAUAUAUCUAACCUACUAAUAGUCAAGAAAUAUAUCUAUUCAACACAUAUUUGUUAGAAAGAUUAUCUACUAAUUAAUCAUUGAGACGAGAUUACGAGCCUCAACAUAAAUUAGGAUAAAAAUUAAUAUAUUGAAAUUCAUAAUUUUUUUUUUCCUUCAGCAGUUUAAAAUGGAGUCGCCCACUAGUACUGAAAUAAUUUUAUCAGAUUCGCUUGAAAGUAGUUUUACAAGCAAGCAGUUUUUCCCUCUUGAUCCCCGUAAUCGUCAGCUCCUACUCUUUGCCUUCAAUUCUCAGUCAAGAAAACCUCUCCUGAUUUUCGUCUUUUGAUCUCAUACACACUUUGCUUCUGUUCAUCGUGGUCGCUGCUCGUGCUAGCCGUUUUCUUAUUUAGCUUUGUUCCCUUUUGCCAUCAGCUCUUCGCAUUUUCAUUGGAUCAAGCAACCCUUUUCUUGAUUCAAUUGUCUGAUCUCAAAAACACUUUGAUUCUCUUCUGUUACGCUGAUUUUCCCUUGUUUUGUACAAAUAUCAUUUCUUUUUUCAACUUUGCCUUGUUUUGCUUCUGCUUGAUUAUCAAUUGCGCGGCCGUUGACCCUGUUCUAUUUCUAUUUCGUUCACUUCCCCAAAAAAUAAAAAAUGGACAUUUUGAAAAGCAUUGUUCCAGGAGUUGUGAACUGCUUGUCUCCUCACGCACAACGCGAAUUUAGUUAUUGGUAUAACUCCGCUGCCAACUUUGAGAAUCUCAAGGCAGAACUCGAUAGGCUCAAGGAUGAAAGAGAAAGCAUUCAGCGCAGAGUUUCUGAGGCUGAAAGAAAAGGUGAAAAGAUUGAAGAGAAGGUUGAGAAAUGGCUGGUUAAUGCGAACAAGAGCAUUGAGGAGGCAGCCAAAUUCAUUCAAGACGAAGAGAAAGCAAAUGAACGAUGUCUCAUGGGGCUGUUUCCAAAUUGGAUUACUCGCUAUCAGCAUGGAAAGAAAGCAGAAACAGAGAAGGAGGCCCUUUUUAAACUCCGAGAAGAAGCUGGGAGAUUUGAUGAUAGAAUUUCCUACCGUACCGUUCCGGAGGAUAUAUGGCUCAAGUCUCACAAAGGCUACGAGGCCUUCGAAUCAAGACUUUCUACUUUGAAGGCCAUACAAAAUGCAUUGAUCGAUGUUGAUGUCAGCAUCAUUGGGGUGUACGGCAUGGGCGGCGUUGGAAAGACGACACUGGUGAAGAAGGUCGCCAGGCAAGCUAUGGAAGACAAGCUCUUUGAUAUGGUGGUCUUUUCAGAGGUUUCGCAAACUCCAGACAUAAAAAAGAUUCAACAGGAAAUUGCCGAGAAGUUGGGCCUGGAGUUGCACGAGGAAGUUGAAUCUAGAAGAGCUAGUAGGCUAUGUGAGCGAUUGAGAAAUGAGAAGAAGAUCCUUGUGAUUCUGGAUAACAUCUGGAAACACCUUGAUUUGGAGACCGUUGGAAUUCCUUUUGGAGAAGAUCAUAAAGGAUGCAAACUACUGCUGACGACAAGAGAUCGUAGUGUCCUCUUGAAAAUGGGAUCUGAAGACAACUUUUUGAUAAACAAUUUAAAUGAAGAAGAAGCCGGGAGAUUGUUUAAGAUGAUGGCCGGUGAUGAUGUUGAAAAUCGUGAGUUGAAAUCUACAGCAAUAGACGUCGCCAGGGCAUGUGGAGGUUUGCCCAUUGCCUUGACUACAGUAGCAAAGGCAUUGAGAGGCAAGAGUCUGCAUGAAUGGAAGAAUUCCUUGCGAGAACUCCGAACGCCUUCAAUGGUAAACUUCGAAGGAGUGUCUGCAGAGACUUAUUCAAGUAUUGAACUGAGUUUCAAGUAUUUAAAAGGUGGGCAACUCAAGGAACUUUUUCAGCUCUGCAGUCUAAUGGGUAACAGUAUCCCUACUUUGAAAUUGCUUAAAUACUCCAUAGGUUUGGGUAUAUUUCAAGGAGUCAAUAAGGUGGAAGAUGCACGAAACAAGUUAUAUGCGUUGGUACAUGAACUUAGAGACUCUUGUUUGUUGCUUGAGGGUGAUAGCAAUAAACUAAUUUCAAUGCAUGAUGUUGUUCGCGAUGUCGCCAGAUCAAUUGCAUGCCGAGACCAACAUGUAUUUGUGGUGGAAAACGAGGAUGUGUGGGAGUUGCCAGAUAAGGAAUCACUAAAAAAAUGCUAUGCAAUCUCUAUAAGAUAUUGUUGCAUUCAUGAGCUUCCCAAUGCAUUGGAAUGUCCACAACUUGAGUUCUUGUGCAUGUCUCCCGAAGAUUCUUCUCUUGAAGUGAGUAUUCCUGAAAAUUUUUUUGUAGGGAUGAGAAAGCUUAAAGUUGUAGAUUUUACUGGAAUGCAGUUAUUUUCAUUGCCUUCUUCAAUUGAUCUCUUAGUAAAACUUAAAACACUUUGUCUUGAUGAAAGCAUUUUGAGAGACAUCGACAUAGCCAUUAUUGGAAAGUUGGAAACUCUAGAAAUCCUCAGCUUCGUGCGGUCUGAUACGGUGCAAUUGCCCAAAGCACUAGGUCAACUGACUAAGCUAAGGCUGUUAGAUUUAACAGACUGUUUCCAUCUAAAAGUUAUUGCUCCAAAUGUCAUAUCAAGCUUAAUCCGAUUAGAAGAAUUGUAUAUGUGUAAUUGCUCCAUUGAAUGGGAGGUUGAAAGAGCCAACAGCAAAAGAAGUAAUGCUAGCCUUGACGAAUUGAUGCAUUUACGUUGGCUAACCACUCUAGAAAUUGAUGUUAAAAAUGAGAGUAUGUUACCAGCAGGCUUUUUGGCCAGAAAGCUCGAAAGGUUCAAAAUAUCUAUUGGAAAUGGGUUAUUCAUGCAUCCCAUGCUUUUUGGACAACAUUGGUUUAAAAGUCAGCUGCACUUUUUGAUCGACAGUAAUCGCAAGAUUUCAAGAGAAUUGGAGCUCAAGCUUGAUUUUAUGGACAUUUGCUCCAUGAAAUUGCAGGGCAUCAAUAACGUUGAAUACUUACGGUUGGACAAGCUGCAAGGCAUCGAGAAUGUUCUUUUCAAUUUGGACACGGAGGGCUUUUCACAAUUGAAGGUCCUCUGCGUCCAAAAUAAUCCUGACUUCUUUUGUAUCGUCGAUUCAAGGGAGAUGGUCGCUUGUGAUGCCUUUCCUCUUUUGGAGUCACUUGCCCUUCACAAUUUGAUCAACAUGGAGAGGAUAUGUGUUGAUCGGCUCAAAGUAGAGUCUUUCAACGAACUCAAAAAUAUAGAAGUAUAUAAUUGUGAUAAGUUGAGUAAUAUCUUUUGGCUCUCUACUUCAAAAUGCCUUCCAAGACUUGAGAGAAUUGCAGUUAUUAAUUGCAGCAAGAUGAAAGAGAUUUUUGCAAUUGGGGAAGAAGUUGAUAAUGCAAUUGAGAAGAUAGAGUUUGUUCAAUUAAGAUCUUUGAGUCUGGGGAAUCUUCCAGAGGUUACAAGUUUUUGCCGCCGUGAGGUGGAGACUCCUUCAGCAUCACCGAACAGACAAGUGUCGCAAGAGGAAUCGACGACUACGUAUUGCUCCAGCGAAAUCACUUUGGAUACUUCAACUCUGCUUUUCAACGAGAAGGUGCGUAGGCUAACAUUUUCUUUAUAUAUAUAUAAUUAAAUCAUUUAAAGAAUUGAAAGAAAAUGGAAAAAGGAUAAAAAGAAUCUCACGCGCUCACUAAUUGAGCUCUUAACAAGUAGUAUGAAUUAGAAUGCAUACUCAGCUGUCAGUUGGAAAUUGAUUCAGACUUGAUUAAUUUGUAAUCAAAGAAGAAAAUUUCAACAAGUGCUUCCCCUAUAGAUAUUGGAUCUAACGAGAAAUUCUUAUUUUUUUAGGUUGCGUUGCCUAACUUGGAGGCUUUGGAGAUAUCUGAAAUUAAUGUCGACAAGAUUUGGCACUACAAUCAAAUUCCGGCGGCCGUGUUUCCUCACUUUCAAAGUUUAACAAGAUUGAUUGUGUGGCGUUGUCACAAAUUAAAAUACAUAUUUUCAGCGUCUAUGAUCGGAAGCCUCAAGCAGCUCCAACACCUAGAUAUACGAGACUGUAAGGAUUUACAGGAGAUCAUUUCUGAAAACAGAGCAGAUCAAGUGAUCCCUUAUUUUGUCUUUCCACAGCUCACCACU